UAGCAUAAGCCCUAUUUCAUCUUUCCAAUCAAGUUUUUGGCAGCAACCAUCGAUUCAGGAGUAGCUUUCUCUUUGUCAAAGUGAUUUUUGAUGUUCAUCCUUUAAUUUUCCUUUUAUUUAUGAGAGAGGGGUCUUUCUUAUUCAUUGAUCUUCUUGUUUAGUGCAGUUCUUCCACUACCCAGGUAAUUAUUCUAGGCUUUGUUUGUUAUACGUUUUUAAUUUUUUCUUCAGUUUCUCUCUAAACUUAGGUUUAAUUUGUUUUUUCGUUUUUGAUGGGCAUCUGCAGUGCUUGGUUUAUAAGCUUUU
This 306-nucleotide long non-coding RNA is filed under the name Prunus persica (peach). RNAcentral describes it as "long non-coding RNA (PPER_LNC005892)". Lineage: Eukaryota; Viridiplantae; Streptophyta; Magnoliopsida; Rosales; Rosaceae. The record is from RNAcentral.